Long non-coding RNA from Anopheles coluzzii, 234 nucleotides. RefSeq lists it as uncharacterized. NCBI's taxonomy places the organism in Eukaryota, Metazoa, Arthropoda, Insecta, Diptera, Culicidae. The transcript is spliced from 2 exons. The record is from RefSeq and is a predicted model, not a curated record.
GCAAGUUGUGGGGCUCUACCGUUCUUUACACUGUUUUCCGGGCCAAUCCGGACUUCCUUCGAUUUCGGUUUUACGUGCGUGCGUGCGUGCGUUACGUACGUAAUUCCACAUCGCGCUAUCAAACUGUUUAACUCCACUCGCAAACAAACAAAAAGUGAAAGAACGAAAAUGUGAGAUAGCGAAAAACGGAGAAAAAGACAUUUUCCGGUGGAAAAAAGACUCUUCCAAACAUUU